CCUACGGGUGGCAGCAGUGAGGAAUAUUGGUCAAUGGACGAGCGUCUGAACCAGCCAAGUAGCGUGAAGGAUGACUGCUCUAUGGGUUGUAAACUUCUUUUAUAUGGGAAUAAAACGCUCCACGUGUGUGAUUUUGUAUGUAUCAUAUGAAUAAGGAUCGGCUAACUCCGUGCCAGCAGCCGCGGUAAUACGGAGGAUCCGAGCGUUAUCCGGAUUUAUUGGGUUUAAAGGGAGCGUAGGUGGAUUGUUAAGUUAGUGGUGAAAGUUUGCGGCUCAACCGGAAAAUUGCAGUUGAUACUGGCAGACUUGAGUACAGUAGAGGUAGGCGGAAUUCGUGGUGUAGCGGUGAAAUGCUUAGAUAGCACGAAGAACUCCGAUUGCGAAGGCAGUUCACUGGACUGCAACUGACACUGAGGCUCGAAAGUGUGGGUAUCAAACAGGAUUAGAUACCCGGGUAGUC
RNAcentral lists this ribosomal RNA (460 nucleotides) under uncultured bacterium. Its description in RNAcentral is "partial 16S ribosomal RNA". It matches the Rfam family "Bacterial small subunit ribosomal RNA", at positions 338 to 795 of the family's 1533-position model. The record is from RNAcentral.